CCAAUCAACAGCCAGAACCGAUGGUUGCGUAGUGUCCCCACCCCCUCGGGCACGCCUCUCUUCGAUAAGCCACGCCCAACUGCCCUCCAGCCGCCUUCCCUUUCGGCGGUUUCCGCGCGGUCCUAAUGUGUGGUGGCUGACCGCGGGCUGGGGUGGGGAAGGACGCGGUAGGACUGUAGGAGAUGGCUAGGUGUGCUAGAGCGCGGCAAGGCGCUGCUGAGACCCGCGUGUGCGGAGGGAAGUGGGGAACUGCCCCUUUUCCAAGGGCCUGAACACAGCUUUUGACUACUGACUGUCCUGUUCUGCCUUCCUCUUCGCGUGGGCCACCGCCCCACAGCGCCGCUGGGUUCCCUUCGCGGCCGCAUGGUACGCGUCCCGGGAGCGAAGCUUCCCCUGGGGGGAGCGCGCUAACCUGAGCUCCUUCGGUGCACCGCCCUGCCGACUGUCUGGAAGUCAGCAAUGGGAUAUUCCCACCACAACUUUACCGGGAUCUCUGGGUUGACUCUCUGGGUUGAGGAUCGGGGAGCUGGGUCGGGAGGCUGGCUUGUGGCUGUGGUUGAGGGGCCCGGACGCCUCGAAAGCAGGAGGGUGCCCAGGCGAAGUGCAGGCUGCACCAUGCAAUCUUCCGGGCGCAGAGGCGACCCAACCCGACCUGAGGGAGAUCCACGGGCUCUGGGCCGAGGGGAGACGCAGUGGAAUGAACUGAACUGCUGGUCCACAAGAACAGUUUUUCUAUCAAAGGAUACCAUCAAAUUCUGGAGAAGUUCUACAAAUCAUAAUCUAUUUCCCUUUUUCCAGAAAGGAAUUCUAGUAGCAUGUAUCCAACUGUUUCAAACCUCCACCUGCUACAUGGGCGUGGCUUCUGAGAUCGACAUGCUUCCAACAGCUUAUACAGAGUGA
This 900-nucleotide long non-coding RNA is filed under the name Sus scrofa (pig). RNAcentral describes it as "lncRNA (ENSSSCG00005030053.1)". Lineage: Eukaryota; Metazoa; Chordata; Mammalia; Artiodactyla; Suidae. The record is from RNAcentral.